CCGGCGCCCCGCGCGCGCGAGGAAGCUGCGGCCGGGAGCCGGGGCCGCGGAGGCGCCGAGCGCCCAGCAGCGCGGGGAAGCGCCCAGCAGCCGCCGCUCGCGCGGCUCCUCCUCGCCAGCGCAGUCUCGCUCGCUGCCUCCCUCGCUCGGUCGGUUCGUGCGUCCGUCCGUCCGUGGGGCCCUCCCUCCCCCGCCGCCACUGCCGCCGCCACUGCCGCCGCCACUGCCGCCGCCGCCGCUGCCGCAGCCUCCGCCGCUCCAGCCCCGGCUCGGCAGCGCGUCCCCUCCCCGCCUCGCCGCUCCGCUCGCGGGCUCGCGGGCUCCCUCGCUCUCUCCCUUCCCCCGCCGCUGCCGGCGCCGCGCCGAGCGGAGCCCGGCCGGCCACGGGCUGCCUCUCCCGAGGUCCCUUUCCCGAGGGGGGGAGGUGGUGGGGGCGCGGCGCAGGCGGGGCGGGGAGGAGAGGAGAGUCCGGGGGAGGCGGCAAGGCUGCGCCCUCGGCUCCCCUCCGAUCCCCGCGGGCCCAGCGGCCCCAGGCCGGGCCGGAGAGCGCCGAGCCGCCAGGCAGUGGAGGAAGAGAGGAGGAGGACCCGGAGUCUCGCCGCGGGAGGGUGCCCAGGGCGAGGGCGUGCGAGGGGGAGUGACUCCGCGCGCGAGGGUGUGUAUGAGUGUGAGUGCGUGUGUGUGUGUCUGUGUGUGUGGAGAGGGGCGCGCGCGUGAGCGGGGGGUGGGGAGACGAGGCAGAGCCUAGUGCGUCUCCCCGGGCGAGUGGAGGAAUCCUAGGGUGUGCCUGGAGGUGGCGGAGUGUACCGACGCGGGUGUGAGCGCGUGUGCCAGCGAGGGUGGGCACGGGGGUGAGCGUGGCAAGGGCAGCAGCACCUGCUUGAGACCAAGCCCGGCGACCUGGCAAGGUGGGGCCCCCUACCGCGCAAUCUUUGCGGCUGGCCCCCGGCUCUCAGCUCCGAGUGCAGAGGCUGAAGAGGUACCCGGGGGACACACUGCCUCUAACCCCACCUAUGAGCCGCUCUCCUCUCGGAGGACGAAGGCACCAUCAGAAGGUCGAGAUUCGCCCUCCUCUCCCGCCACGUCUACCCACUACCUAGACCGGGAGUCUGGACUUGGGAGCGUGAACUCUCACCCGAGCCGGUCCCCUUACAACUGGAGCCCGCCCAGCCCCUCAGUCCCUCCCUGAAGCCCAUGGGUCCCCACUGCUCCGUGCCUCGUCGACCCAGGAUGGGGAGUGGGAAGGUCAGCAUGUGCCCACAGGGCCAGGUGUCCGGCCCAGAUUCCCACCCUCAGGGCGGCGGCGCGCAAAGGGCGCAGUCCCCGCCGCUGGGCGGACCCGCGGCUCCGGCUUUCCCGGUGUCUCCAGCCUCGGUGCCCGGAAUCCUGGAUCUCGGCCUGGCGCUCCGGAAGCGAGGCAGCUCCGUGCCCCAGCAGGGACGGGGAACGCUUGGCUUGAGAGAUCACAUUUCUGGGUGUGGAGAGGUGGGUGCCGAGGCAGAGAAAUGCAAAGUGCGUUGUGACCUCUGGGGUGUUCUAGACUGCGAGGGUGUUCUAGACCCUAGGACAAUUGUAGACCCAGGGCUGGAAAAGGACCUCCCUGAAUCCGGAACGGGGCUUCUGGCUUGUGAGAACCCCUAGCCCUCUUCCAGAUGAAGGAGUGGAAGUCGGUAAUUGUGGUCUGGGCCCUUGUGGCCCCUGGCACCUUGGAGUCCCUCAUUCACUCACUCUUACUUUUUCCGGAGCCCCCUUCAGUCUGUCAGUUUGAAAGGUACACAAUUGGCCCUUCAGGAGGUGGGCGUGGGCUCCAUUAGCGUUUGCCAGGAGUCCCGGAGCUGUGUGGGAUUUGCAUACAGUAAUAAUGAUUAACAACACUGCCACUCCCUGGCAGACAGGGGAAGAAUUCGGGGAAGGCCCUGGCGCUGCUCCCACCUCCCUCCUCCCUUUCCUCUGGGGAAGGGCUAAUUUUCUGGCAACUGCACUCCUCAGUUGCUCUGACCCCUGGGAUAAAGUGCCUCAGGUCCUGGGUGGUCACUACUCAGGAGGCAGGGGCACUUUCCUUCAGUACUCCAUCCCAUGUUCAAUUCGGGAAAGUGAAACCCAUAUUUUAUUUCUGCCCAGGUUUGAACUCCUGUACAUUCUCACUGUUGUUUAGCAUCUUGGGGGCAGCUCAGGGGUUGAGUGCCCCCCUCAGUGUUUGGAGGCUUCAGGAGACAGUUGGGCACAUCAUUUCUCCUCAGAAAGUCAACUAAUGGGACAGUUGUGGCCUCCUGAGACUCGUAAGCUCCGUUUGAAGACCAGACACUGGUCCAGACACCUGCCCCCUCAUUCCUCAUAAGCUCGUAACUCAUUGCUUAAGUGUGGUAGCUGUAGACUAUUCUCUCCUUUCUGUCUUAACCAUCUAGGGAAAAUAGGAAAGACUGGGAUUUCUAGUCUAGGCCAGUGUGGGUUUUGUUUACCAGUCCUUCCUACAACCAGGUGAUCUGCAAAAUGAGAGCAAGCGAUGGGGAGAAAGGAGGCCCCUUGAUUCGGGCAGCUGGAGUAGUCCUGCUGCCCAGGAGAUGCUGUCCCUCCCACCAGUCCCCAGUCAUCUAUUGCAUCUUUCCAGCACUGCCUGUCCUCACCUUCCCCCUCUGCCUCUGGUCCCGGCCUGGCCGGGAUUUUCACUUGCUUUUCCCCCAUGACACGGCCGCUUUUCCUUUAACUCUCAGCUUCUAUUUAAAAAGCUAAUUUGGGAGCUUGUCGAUGCUCCCAAUUCAGACAUUUUAAAUAGGAACUGAAAGUCAGGAGCUGCCAGGGCACUAGAUUUCCUCCCGUUGCCACCAGCACAGCUGAGGCAUUUGUUCAGUCACUCCUCUGGCCCUGGCCGUGUGUGUCUGUGUGUGUGAGCACCCGCGAGCUCAGGGUGUAUUUCAGGCUAUCUUUUCUAUUUAAAGACGGUGCUCCUAUGGAUGACUAUUCUUUCUCUGUGUGUGUGUCCUUUCCAAGCUGUGCACACAUGAGGAUUCUUCUUUAGUCUCAUGGCUGUGGCCGGUAUUUGCAAAGCUUGUCACCGUGUGGACUGUGAGGGUAAUUGGGAGCCCAGCUCAAAGUCGGCUGCUUCUUUGCUGACGUGCCAGGCUAGUGUGUCUGCGUGGCUGUUUCCCAGGGCUGCUCUGUUCAGGCUCUCUCUUUGAAGCUAUGCCUCAUAUGCCUGAGAAUGUCCUUAAGGGUCACUCCCACCCUCACUGCUUAUAGCUGUCCCAUUUUAGCAAUCUGCCCCAUGCUGGGGCAAGAAUUUUGGGGGUGGGCUGUACCUCUGAGGGUUACAGCCUUUCUACAUUUAGGGUGCUAUGUACCUUAGAAGUAAAAAGUACAGACUUUGAGGUGAGACUGCCUGGGUUUGAACCUGCGUCUGCUGUUAAUUAGCUGUGUGAUCAUGUGGAAGGUACUUAAUCCCUCUGUGCCAUGAUUUCUUCCUCUCUCAAAUGGCAAUAAAUAAUACUAUCUACUUUAUAGGGUUGUGAAAAUUAAAUGAAGUAACACAGAUAAAGUGCUUAGAAUCGUGCCUGGAACAUGGGAAGUACAAUAUAAUUGUUGGUUGUUGUUGUUCAAGGUAGGAGUGGUGCAGGCAGGAGGUGCAAAGAAAUCUGUCUGAGGAGGAAGAUAGAACUGCCGGAUUGUACACAGAGACACAUAUAGUCACUCACCCACCCAUGCAUGUAACAAUAAAAAUGGCAGGCCACAGCCCACAGGCAGUCAAGUUCACCUUGCUGAGAUAGUUAAUUCUGUAAGUCCCAGAAAAGGGAGAUUUCUGUUGAAGGAAUAGAGGAAGAGUCUAGGGAUAGAGAUGAGGAAGGGGCUUGACCAUGUCAGAAGCCCAUGGGACAUUUCUUGGGAGCCGAUUUUAUGCUGAAGAGUAAGUCCCGGGCCCCUCACUAUCCAUGUGGUCCCAGCCUCCCUUAUUUAACCACUGAAAGCAAGGCCUUUUGAAAGUGAGCUCCAGCGAGAAACUCAGGAGGGUGGCACCUCAUUCUCCCCAAGGCUCCCCUUGGGUUUGGGGUACUCUCACUUUCAUACUGCCAUUGCGUUCCAUCCCUUAUUCCCACAGCUGGGCAUGUGAGCUUUUAUUCAGUUGCUAUUAGAGUUUAUUUCACCUCGAUGGGCCCGCAGGAAGCUGCUAGCAGGAAGAGGAGCUCUGAAGGACAGGAGGCUGUCCAAGGGAUGAAAGCAACGUUGCAAAUGCUUGGCUUAGCAUAUCAGCUGUAAGCUGAGGAGCCACCAUAUGUUGGGCUCCUUGCUAGAUUUUCCAUAAUCCUGCACUGUAGAUAUUACCAUCAUUUUAUUGAUAGAGAACCUGAAGGUAGCUGGUGGAGAGGGACACUCCAGAAGGAUGUGAGGCUGCAUAGCUGGAUUGGAACUCUGACCUCUCCCUUUUGCCGCUAUCCCAGGAUCCUUGGUUUCCCCGCUUCUGAAAGUAGAGUAUCCUCCUCAGUCAGAUAGAGGGGCUAUCCUAAGAGGACACUCUUGACCUCUCCUGUAUUUGGCCUCCAUAAGUUAUGUGUGGGGUUGACAUAGUUUGAAUAUUUGUCCCCUCCAAAUCUCAUGUUAAAAUGCAACCCCCAAUGUUGGAGGUGGGCCUAGUGGGAGGUGUUCAGGUUAUGGGGGCAUAUCCCUCAUGCAUGUCUUGGUGCCCUCCCCAUGGUAAUGAGUGAGUUCCUGCUCUAUUAGUUCACGUGAGAGCUGGUUGUUGUAAUGUGUCUGGCACCUCCUUCCUCUCUCUCUUGCUCUCCCUUGCCAUGUGACACAUCUGCUUCCCUUUCCCACCCGCCAUGAAUAAAAGCUUCCUGAGACCUCACCAGAAGCAGAUGCUAGUGCCGUGUUUGUACAGCCUGCAGAAACCAUGAGCCAAAUAAACCUGGACUAAUACGGGGGUGGAGGCUCAGUAUGUCCAGGGUGGGGAUGCACCCUAUUUUUCUUCAGGGUGAUGUCUGCCUGAGGAAUUCCAAAGCUUAGGGGUGGCUUGGCUUUCUCUAGUUUCCCAAGGUGGGGUAGGAGGUGGUGGUGUAAAUGCUGACGAGCUUUGCCCCAGUCUCAGAAGGCCAGGGCUUUGCCUACCGGGUAUCAGCCCAGGUUGUCCAGCUUCCAGGCCAGGAGGCACUGUCCAACAUUGGUGGCCCCAAUGGCUGAAUGCUCACAACUAUCAGAUGCUUCUAGUCCCUUUCUGAGGGUGGAGAACUCUUGCUUCCUGCAGCACUAACUCCAUUUUGGAGGCCAGUAGUGGCCUGGAUGGUCAUCUCAUUGAUCAAUAUGCUUAGACCAGUUAUGGCAAAUGAGAAGCCAUCCAACUUGCUGGGCUCCAGUGGAGCUUCUGAAAGUCAGCCCUUCCAGUGGACCUUCUGCCAGCCUGACCCCUGCUCCAACCAAGGCAGCUCCUGGGGAAAGCAAAGUCCAGGUGGAGGGUUUUCUGCUCAUCAAGACCUCCCUUGGAGGGAGAUGCUAGGGAAGGAAGAGGAGGGAAGAGAAGGAGGAAAGCAAAUAUGAGAAGGAGAGAUAGGUACUGGGAGUUUGGGGGAAAUCCUAAUCAUUUGUUUAGUUUCUUGCUAGAAAAUCUGGAGAAGGGUGAGUGGAGGCUGGGGAUAUAACUCUUAGGUGCAAUGACUUGUUUUCUGCUGGUGGUUUCUUUUGCUUGUGUGCUGAUGUUUCCCAGGUCUCUGUCCUUGGCCUUCUUUGCUUCUCUCUCUGCCCUUUUCCCUGGAGAGUUUAUGCAAGUCCAUGGUUUCAAGUUCACUCAGAUGCUUAUGAUUUCUUCCUGCACUCUUCUGUUCCCAGUAAUGAUCCACUGUGCAUCUCCAUCUUUGUACAUAGGCACCUCUAUGCUUCAUCUCACCAGUGGCCUUAAUCCUUCUGCAAUCAAUUGUUUCCCCUAAAAAACCCUCUUCCUAUCAUGGUAUAUCCUCUACUUUCUUUCCAGCCUUACCUUCUUCUACUUACUCACAUCUUCCUUUCUAGCAUGUAGAUCUUUUCUUCAUUACCUGCAAAAUCUCAUAUCUUCAUGUCUUUGUACAUGCUGCACCCUCUUCCAGAAAUGCCUUCCACCACUUCCUAUUUCCUUUGUCUUCCUAGCAAACUUCCACUCAGCCUCAAACCUUAAAUACCCAAGAAAAAAGUCAUGUAAGUGUUGGUAAAGUCCUCCCCCACAUCCCAGGAUGAACUAGUCGUUCCCCACUUUGGAUUUUCACAGUCCUUCCUGCAUACCUCAAAUAUGGUUCUUAUGACCUGUAUGGCCUUGUUUUCUGCAUAGUGGUAUCCCUCUCUGGACUUCAAGCUGUUUAUGGCAAGGACCGUUGUCAGCCAUUUCUGAAUCCUAGCUCAGUGCUCGGGACAUUGCAGAUGUUCAAUACAUUUGCAUUAAUAAUUUAUUUUAACUUUAAUUUACGUGGCUCCCUUGAUUGUAUGUAACUGGGAAUAUGUGAUUAAUUUGUCAACUGGUUGGUCUCCAGGUCCUAUCUGAUUGAUCUUAAGCACUAGCAUGAGGACAGAAAGAAGAAUGAGGGUGUUCCAUUUUCAGCUGAUCCUACAUGAAAAGAGCCCCAAAGCCCCACUCCUCCAGUAGGGAGGAAAGGAAAGUCUUUUCGUAUCUACAAAGUGUUCUUUUCUUGAACCAGAUUGGUUUUCAGAUAACUCUUUUCUUUCCUUUCUGGCAGAAUGUCAAUCACAUAUCCAGAAUAUCACCUCCUUGGGCACAGCCAGGGCAUGGUCCAUUGAAAAUGUUCCUGAUUGCUGGAAGCUGACGGCUCACCAUAAAAGCCAAAAUGGGGACCUGUCAAAAAUGUUUUAGCCAAACUAUGGCUUGGCUCAGGAAGAUGCCAAGACCAAAGGCUGCUGAACUUUAAGUAUAAACUUGCAUGAAAAGCACAUUGCAGGUCUGAGACAGUGGAGGCUUAGUGGUGAGAACAUGAGCUCUGGAUAGACCUGGCUUCAAGUCUUGGCUCUGUCAUUCACCAGCUGUGUGAAUUUGGGCAAACCACUUUUCUUCUCUGAUGCUCAGUUCCCUCACCUAGCAAAAUGGGUUAUAAUGAUGGCAUCAACUCAUAAGGUUCAUGAGGACUGAGCUAGAUAAUGCAAACAACAUGUUUCAUAUACAAUAAUAAAUAAAAAUGUUGGCUGUUAUAAUAUUGUCACUGAGUCUACAUGUAUCUGAAACUAGCUCUUUUAAAUCCUGGGUACAGCUUUACAAGCAGUAUUGUGUAGUUUAGACAGAUCACCUGAGUUCUUUCUAUGUAAUUAUUGUUUCUACUGAACCUUGGUAAAUGUGUGAAAUCACAGAAGUUUGUCCCUAGACACUCCCCUCACCCCACUGGCUCCUCUCUCCAUUCUGUGCAACCCCAUUUCUGCAGCCUUGAGCUUCAGCCCAUUUCUCUCCAUUUCCUCCUCAUUAGCAAGAACUGAUAAAAUUAUUUGAACUGAUAUGUAAGUGACCAUCUCAUCCAGAGAUAUAGUAUUCACAUUUUAGUAGGUCAGAGCCUUAAGCCAAGGCAGUGAAAUAGAGUGGAUGGUACUUCAAGCAUUCAUCAAAGUAAUGGGGAAAGUUUGGGGUCCCAGGAGACUCUUCCCAAUUCCACAGAGUCCUGCCCAUUCAUAAAACUGGUACUAUUGAUGCAUUAUAAGCAACAAGGUGGUCCGUGUUUGAAUUCUGCAGCUGGAAAAUCAAGUCUCCAGCUUUUGCAAAAGUGUUGUAAUAGGGAAACUUGGACACUAAUUUUAUAUACCAACCUCUUCUUGGUAAAGAGACAUAGCUCAUGAGCACCAAGGCCUUUCCAGCAUUGCACAUCUAUGAUACUUAUACUCAAGUGCAUUUUUUUCUUCAGAGCUCAAGGCUAGAGUUGGGUGUUUUUGCCUCACUGGGUUUGUAGGAGACUCAGCUACAAAGUCAUUAAUUGCUUUGGUGAAUCAACAAGUAAAGAAAGACAGUCCAGCUAUUGUCCCCACACUGCAAAAUCAUAAGAGGCUUCUGGACUUCUCCACAAAAUCCUCAUUAAAGAUGAGUCCUCAUGGCUCUUACAGAAUUCUUUAUUAUGUCCUUUGUGCUGAGACUGCAAGGUAAAGAAAGAAAAAAGGGAAAUAACUAAAUUUGUUAUCAUGGAAAAUUUCAAACAUACAAAAGAUGAAAGAAUUGUAUAAUAUACCCCCAUGAACUUGUCAUUUAGCUUUGAAAGUUACCAACUCAUGGCCAAUCAUUUUUCAUCUGUACCCUACUCACACACUCCCCCACCAUAAUUUUGAAACAAAUUCCAAAUAUAAUUUCAUCUGUAAAUAUUUCUGUGAUUGCACCUUUGUUAUGGCCAACAAAAUCCAUCUUUCUAGAAGAGAAGUCAUUCUUCCCUCCCUCCAUGAUGCUAAGAACAUUUGGCCAGUACCUGCAUCCAUGCCCAGGAGUGGUCUCUGGGUUAGGCAAGCUUGAGGGUUUACUGAAUGUUAUCCAAAGUUUGUCCUUUUCCUUGGGUAGAAAAAGGAACCCAUAAAAUGUCUGGUAGAGGUGCCACUGUGUGCAAGCUUUUUUUUUUUUUUUUUUUUUUUUUUGUCAGCAGGGAUGAUGCUCAAUAGCUGUGAUGAGGUCCAAGCUGAGAGAAAAGAGUCAUGAUCAUGAAUCCCAACUGGAUUCAUCAUUUUCCACAUACUUUACUUCAUUUAGCUUUCACCAAUUCUCAUGUUAGUUCCAUUUUACAGAUAAGAAAACUAAGACCUAAGCUCACCCAGCUAGUAGUUACUUGUGGCAGAGACAGACUAGAUGCCAAUCAAAUUCAGUUCCUCUUUUCUGUAGAUACAGUUAGAUUACUUUCCCAGGUUCUCUUGCAGUUAGGUUUGGUCAUCUGACUAAGUUCUAGCCAAAGUAAUAUAGGCCAGUCCCAUGAAAAACAUCUAGGGCAAUUUAGCAUGUUCUUUCUUUCUCCAUCCACUGGCUGAAUGGAAAAAAUUUCAAGGGCUUAGAAGGGGACAGAGCCACAAGAAGGAAGGAACUUGGGUCCCUGGGUGACUAUGUGAAGUAGAGGUCCCUCCCAACUUCCUUUGAACUGUGAAAUACGCAAAAUAAAUAAAUAAAUAAAUUUUUAUUAUGUGAAACUGCUGAAAUGUGGGUGAUGUAUGUUCAAGUAGUAAUGCCUACCCUGACCAAUACAGUGGCAUAGAUGGGAUUUAAACCCUCAAUCUGACUAUGCCAGUGUCCAAAGUCUUCCCCUAAACCACACUGCCUCCAGGCACAACAAAUAAGAAUUGCUUAUAAGAAUCACCUACAUGCUCAGCAUGUGAUAGGACUGUCUUCAAGGAGAUCUCGCAUCUUAGAUUUGUGCUAAUAUGAUAGCCACUAGCCACAUGGGGCUGUUUAAAUUAAAGUUUAAAUUAAUUAAAAUAAAGUUAAAAAUUCAGUUUCUUAAUUGCAGGCUCACAUUUCAAGUGUGCAGUAGUCUUAUGUAGCUAAUGGCUACCACAUUGGAAUGUGCAGACAGAGAACAUUUCCGUCAUCAUGGAAAGUGCUGUUGGAUAAUGCUGUCUUAGAUAGACCUUCAUUCACAACGCACCCCUCCCCAGACCCCUGCAGAAAAGCUGGAAGAAGACGGGGAUGCUGCUCAC
This 9609-nucleotide long non-coding RNA is filed under the name Homo sapiens (human). RNAcentral describes it as "non-protein coding LINC01750:9". The record is from RNAcentral. Lineage: Eukaryota; Metazoa; Chordata; Mammalia; Primates; Hominidae.